Megalops cyprinoides (Indo-Pacific tarpon) is the source of this 445-nucleotide long non-coding RNA. RefSeq lists it as uncharacterized. Lineage: Eukaryota; Metazoa; Chordata; Actinopteri; Elopiformes; Megalopidae. The record is from RefSeq and is a predicted model, not a curated record. The transcript has 5 exons.
CAGAUUCACAGGCAGACAGACAGACAGGCAGACAAGCCAGCAACAUGUCACCAGGAGUUCCUGAAGUCGAUCCUGAUGCAGACUUUGUUUAUGAUUAUCACACCCUGCGUGUCGGAGGCCUGACCUUUGCUGGGAUCAUUGUGGUCCUGUCUAUCCUUCUGCUGGUUGGCAACACCCUCUGCAGGUGUGGAAGGUCGCAGCCCAAAGCUUCUGAAGGAGUUGGCAGCAUCUGAUCACCUGAUUGCCAAUGUGUCAGAAGGGGGUUAAGCUUAAAGGGAGCAUCACUGAGGGGGGCUGGGCAGUAGUGAGCUGAGCUACACUUGGGCUUUGGUAUUUGUGUAGGUCAGAGAUGAGAGGGCUAAGUGCAGCUGGCUCACUGAGCAUGGUGUGAGAGAGUCACUGAUAAUCCAUUUUAUUCUUCUUGUUGUCAAUAAAUGACACCUAA